ACCAGAAUGGUCGAGAGGUUAAGGCGUUGGACUUAAGAUCCAAUGGACAAAUGUCCUCGUGGGUUCGAACCCCACUCCUGGUA
This 83-nucleotide transfer RNA is filed under the name Danionella translucida. It matches the Rfam family "tRNA". From Rfam's summary of the family: Transfer RNA (tRNA) molecules are approximately 80 nucleotides in length. Their secondary structure includes four short double-helical elements and three loops (D, anti-codon, and T loops). The record is from Rfam by way of RNAcentral. RNAcentral also lists the same sequence under 1 other name. Lineage: Eukaryota; Metazoa; Chordata; Actinopteri; Cypriniformes; Danionidae.